GGGUACGUGGCUUAGUGGGAAAAGUGCAUGCCAUACAAGCAUAAGGACCUGAGUUCAAAUCUCCAGCACCCA
Molecule: transfer RNA, 72 nt
Filed under: Neotoma lepida (desert woodrat)
Lineage: Eukaryota; Metazoa; Chordata; Mammalia; Rodentia; Cricetidae
Rfam family: tRNA
About the family: Transfer RNA (tRNA) molecules are approximately 80 nucleotides in length. Their secondary structure includes four short double-helical elements and three loops (D, anti-codon, and T loops).
Source: Rfam by way of RNAcentral